Molecule: ribosomal RNA, 520 nt
Filed under: uncultured bacterium
Lineage: Bacteria
Description: bacterial SSU rRNA
Rfam family: Bacterial small subunit ribosomal RNA
Source: RNAcentral
UUGGGACUGAGACACGGCCCAGAUUCCUACGGGAGGCAGCAGUGGGGGAUAUUGCGCAAUGGGGGAAACCCUGACGCAGCAACGCCGCGUGAAGGAUGAAGGUCUUCGGAUUGUAAACUUCUUUUAUUAAGGACGAAUAAAGUGACGGUACUUAAUGAAUAAGCUCCGGCUAACUACGUGCCAGCAGCCGCGGUAAUACGUAGGGAGCAAGCGUUGUCCGGAUUUACUGGGUGUAAAGGGUGCGUAGGCGGCUUUGCAAGUCAGAUGUGAAAUCUAUGGGCUCAACCCAUAGCCUGCAUUUGAAACUGCAGAGCUUGAGUGAAGUAGAGGCAGGCGGAAUUCCCCGUGUAGCGGUGAAAUGCGUAGAGAUGGGGAGGAACACCAGUGGCGAAGGCGGCCUGCUGGGCUUUAACUGACGCUGAGGCACGAAAGCGUGGGUAGCAAACAGGAUUAGAUACCCUGGUACUGCACGCUGUAAACGAUAAUAAAUAGGUGUGGGGGGUGUGACCCCUUCCGUGCC